UUCUACAUGCUGCUCACGUGACUGGAACAGGAAGAAGAAGCAUGACCUCAUGUUCCAGAAACUUCGCAAUGCUGUUUUAAUGAAGAGGACGUCUGGAAUCAUCUCAAAGUUCGUUUUGGACACAAAAUGCUGCAGACAUGUAAAAAUGAAGAAGACAGCUGAGUCCUGAACAAGAUGCUAUAGAUAAUAAUUGCCCGAAGAGAAAAGUCCUUGUCGGAAGAAAAUUCAUGAACCCCUUUAAAACAUAGAAGCUUCAAAAGAGGAUGGAUCACUCAGAAGACUUGUGAAUGAUCAUCACGUAAAUCCAAACUGCAACAUGAAGAAAAUAAUUGUGGAAGGAAAGCCACAUUUGUGCUUAUUUGCCAUUAAAACAAUAUCUCCAUGAAUCUUAUACUGCCAGUACUGAAUCAGUACUGUAAAAUUCAUCCUCACCAGAGAAUGAGAAGGAGUCCUAUAACAAAAUAUAUGAGAUGAAUGCCAAGAACCACCGAGCUUCAGCACCAACAGGAAACGAUAAUGAAAAACAAAACUGAUUGAAACCCUGGAUGAGGCCACCAGCUCACCUGCAGCCAUGAGUCCAGAUGGCAACCGCAGGAGAGCUGUGGAUGAAGAAUUAAGUGAAUGCUGUCAUGGAAUACUUCAAAGCCCAUAUUUCCCAAAGCUUGCAACAACAGUGUAAACUUGCUGAGGGUCCUCUUCUGAAAGAGAGAUCUGUUCAAAACAUGAGAUUUUGUGAGAAAUAGGGGCCUGAUGUCCAAAAAACUACAGGUGUCCAAGGUUAAACAGUAAUUGAUUACUCUUGUUGGCAUGCGAGUAAAAAUUGGAUAUGACCUAUGGUCCUGCUGCUCAUAGGAAAAUGGUUAUGUUGAAUUAAAGACAUUCUGUUCAGUCACCUUUUCAGUAUCUUGUUCAUUCAAAGCUCAAGAGUUGUCUGUUUUUAAAGGAUAACACCACUGUUUUGUUUCUUUUAUGUGAUGCUUAGAUUGUUCUUAUAUGAACAAAUCCCAUUCACAAAAGCCAAAAUAAAUGUCAUUAAAAUGCAUGUCACUUAAUUAAAACCCCAAAAAAACAUUUAGGCCUACUGUUGGCACUUCACAUCAACGUCAGUACGUCGCUCGCGGUUUUUUUUCUGUCGGCGUUUAUUUUUUAUGCUUUUGAGAGUGGUGUGCCAUGGGAUUCUGUAAAUUUGGAAAGUGUGCCGCGGAAGGAAAAGUUGGGAAACGCUGCCAUAAGGUGAUGCGCAGUUGGCUAUUUUGUCACCCAGGGUCUGGGAGGCUUCAGUCGGUUAGGGAUUGGUGUUUCAUUGCUCUCUGGCAAUCCCCCGCUAUAUUGAUUGGGCGCCCAUGGCCUGCAUGGAAAAACUGCAUUUGAAAGGUCUUCCUCCAACUCUACUCUAUGGGAUUUUAGCUGCGAGCCAAGAUGUGGAAAGAAGCAGGCUGGUGACACCACAUGUUUUGGAAGAAGAAACACAAAUGUCUUCAUUUUCCCGAAAUGGCAGUGGAGAUUGUGCAUGAACAUGCUUACAAAUAGUCAAUUGGAUAUUCCAAAUUAGGGUGGGAAUUGGAUAUACUCAUUGGAUAUACUUGGACAUGCCAAAUUUAUAUUUGAAAAGUCGUGAUUUUGCACAGAACUAGAGGGAUGAAGCAGUUGGCCCUUAUGACUGUCAUUCAUUUAGCAUUAGCUGUUAUCACGGCUGGCUCAAAAACCAUGACAAAUAACAAGAGAUGACACAAGAAGUUAAAGCAAAAAGAAACAGUCAUUUAUUUUAAACAACAAAAUAUAUGUUGGUACAAGGAAAAACAAAGACGGGGAGCGUGGAGCAUAGGGAGCAGAGUUUCCCCUUCUUCUUCUCAUCAUGGAGCAAGUGGGGCGUGCUCUUAUAGUACUGGGAACACCGGCCCUCUCCUGUCCUCCGCUGACAUCUACCACACAGGGCUGGGUGUGCUUGGCUCAGGCUUACUUAGUCCAUCUUCACUUGUGGGUGCAGUGGGUGCCAAGGAACAUGGACUAGGAGCAUUUGCAAGCUCAGUGGGUGCAGUGGAACAUGGACCGGAUUCACUUGUGGGCUCAGUGGAUGCAGUGGAACAUGGACCGGAUUCACUUGUGGGCUCAGAGGAUUCACUUCCUCCUGGCUCCAUCUUAGCAAGAACACCCGUGCCUUUGGAAAGUGAAGCUUGAGGUCAACAAAGACAAAGACAGGAGGGACAGAUGUAUGGAGGCCUUGUGCAACCAACUAAAUUCUGCACAGACAGAAGUUGUCACAGUCGAUAUCAUUAAAAAAAUUCAAAAACCUGCGGACAACCUUUCAGCGGGAAAAUAAAGCAGCAUCCAGUAAGCGGUCAGGCGAUGGAGCAGAUGACGUUUACAUUCCAAGAUGGAAAUACUAUAAAGACCUGCUUUUUUUGAAAGAAGGAGGAGAACGCAACGAGACUGAAGACAAUAUCCCAUCCCAACCCAUCCAAAUUGAAACCGCAACUCCAGACAAGACGGCUUCCAAAAAUGUAAAAAAACAAAAAACGGGACAUCAGCAAAGCAGAGGUGGCAAUGAAGUAUGCCUUGGAGUGCUUGAAAAGACUAGAACAGAAGCCGGAGUCAGUACAUGCAGGAUUUUUAAAAUAUUUAGAUGAGUGUCUGCAAGAGAAACUGGAGAAGUGUGAAGAGGAAGAUUAUUGAAAUUGUACACACCAAUAUAGAAGAGUAAUCUCAGAACUAGUUUAACCAAUGAGUUUUUUUUAUUACCCAUUUUAUUUAAGUAAUAACAUACAAGAGGAAAGACUGUACUGUAAUUAAUGUUCAAUAAAAUCUAACAAAAUUUCAUUUUA
Molecule: long non-coding RNA, 2822 nt
Organism: Anguilla anguilla (European eel)
Lineage: Eukaryota; Metazoa; Chordata; Actinopteri; Anguilliformes; Anguillidae
Exons: 10
Source: RefSeq, a predicted model, not a curated record